RNAcentral lists this transfer RNA (74 nucleotides) under Apaloderma vittatum (bar-tailed trogon). It matches the Rfam family "tRNA". From Rfam's summary of the family: Transfer RNA (tRNA) molecules are approximately 80 nucleotides in length. Their secondary structure includes four short double-helical elements and three loops (D, anti-codon, and T loops). The record is from Rfam by way of RNAcentral. Lineage: Eukaryota; Metazoa; Chordata; Aves; Trogoniformes; Trogonidae.
GGCCAGUUAGCUCAGUCAGUCAGAGCGUGGUGCUGAUACUGCCAAGGUCACGGGUUCGAUCCCCGUUUGGACCU